RNAcentral lists this transfer RNA (88 nucleotides) under Nitrospirota bacterium. Its description in RNAcentral is "Nitrospirae bacterium (groundwater metagenome) tRNA-Leu". It matches the Rfam family "tRNA". From Rfam's summary of the family: Transfer RNA (tRNA) molecules are approximately 80 nucleotides in length. Lineage: Bacteria; Pseudomonadati; Nitrospirota. The record is from RNAcentral.
GCCGGAGUGGCGGAACUGGUAGACGCAAGGGACUUAAAAUCCCUCGGGUCUCUGACCCGUGCCGGUUCAAAUCCGGCCUCCGGCACCA